GCUUACUUGGUGAAAUGGUAAACACAGCAGAUUUAAAAUCUGCCCCUUUUAGGUUACCGGUUCAAGUCCGGUAGUAAGCA
Molecule: transfer RNA, 80 nt
Filed under: Diacronema viridis
Lineage: Eukaryota; Haptophyta; Pavlovophyceae; Pavlovales; Pavlovaceae
Description: tRNA-Leu
Rfam family: tRNA
About the family: Transfer RNA (tRNA) molecules are approximately 80 nucleotides in length. Their secondary structure includes four short double-helical elements and three loops (D, anti-codon, and T loops). Further hydrogen bonds mediate the characteristic L-shaped molecular structure. tRNAs have two regions of fundamental functional importance: the anti-codon, which is responsible for specific mRNA codon recognition, and the 3' end, to which the tRNAs corresponding amino acid is attached (by aminoacyl-tRNA synthetases). tRNAs cope with the degeneracy of the genetic code in two manners: having more than one tRNA (with a specific anti-codon) for a particular amino acid; and 'wobble' base-pairing, i.e. permitting non-standard base-pairing at the 3rd anti-codon position.
Source: RNAcentral